Molecule: transfer RNA, 73 nt
Filed under: Marmota monax (woodchuck)
Lineage: Eukaryota; Metazoa; Chordata; Mammalia; Rodentia; Sciuridae
Description: tRNA.Ser
Source: RNAcentral
UGAAUAUGUAACUCAGUGGUAGAGUGCUUGCCGAGAAUGCUAGAGGUCCUGGAUUCCAUUCCCAACACUACAA